Molecule: ribosomal RNA, 253 nt
Filed under: uncultured bacterium
Lineage: Bacteria
Description: partial 16S ribosomal RNA
Rfam family: Bacterial small subunit ribosomal RNA
Source: RNAcentral
UACGGAGGGAGCUAGCGUUGUUCGGAAUUACUGGGCGUAAAGCGCACGUAGGCGGCUUUGUAAGUUAGAGGUGAAAGCCCGGAGCUCAACCUCGGAAUUGCCUUUAAGACUGCAUCGCUUGAAUCCGGGAGAGGUGAGUGGAAUUCCGAGUGUAGAGGUGAAAUUCGUAGAUAUUCGGAAGAACACCAGUGGCGAAGGCGGCUCACUGGACCGGUAUUGACGCUGAGGUGCGAAAGCGUGGGGAGCAAACAGG